Small nucleolar RNA from Lathyrus oleraceus (garden pea), 107 nucleotides. The record is from RefSeq and is a predicted model, not a curated record. Lineage: Eukaryota; Viridiplantae; Streptophyta; Magnoliopsida; Fabales; Fabaceae.
AGACCGUGAUGUGGACAUAUAUGUAUCGUGUCUUUGUCUCUCUCCCAUGGGUCAUAGAGAGAUUCUACAUCUUUUUGUCAAAAUCCAUUGAUUUGAGCUCUCAGCAU